GCCUUAGUAGCGGCGAGUGAGCGGCAAAAGCUCAAAUUUGAAAUCUGGCACCUUCGGUGUCCGAGUUGUAAUUUGAAGAUUGUAACCUUGGGGUUGGCUCUUGUCUAUGUUUCUUGGAACAGGACGUCACAGAGGGUGAGAAUCCCGUGCGAUGAGAUGCCCAAUCCUAUGUAAGGUGCUUUCGAAGAGUCGAGUUGUUUGGGAAUGCAGCUCUAAGUGGGUGGUAAAUUCCAUCUAAAGCUAAAUAUUGGCGAGAGACCGAUAGCGAACAAGUACAGUGAUGGAAAGAUGAAAAGAACUUUGAAAAGAGAGUGAAAAAGUACGUGAAAUUGUUGAAAGGGAAGGGUUUGAGAUCAGACUCGAUAUUUUGUGAGCCUUGCCUUCGUGGCGGGGUGACCCGCAGCUUAUCGGGCCAGCAUCGGUUUGGGCGGUAGGAUAAUGGCGUAGGAAUGUGACUUUGCUUCGGUGAAGUGUUAUAGCCUGCGUUGAUGCUGCCUGCCUAGACCGAGGACUGCGAUUUUAUCAAGGAUGCUGGCAUAAUGAUCCCAAACCGCCCGUCUUGA
RNAcentral lists this ribosomal RNA (563 nucleotides) under Meyerozyma guilliermondii. Its description in RNAcentral is "LSU rRNA". It matches the Rfam family "Eukaryotic large subunit ribosomal RNA", at positions 77 to 657 of the family's 3401-position model. The record is from RNAcentral. RNAcentral also lists the same sequence under 1 other name. Lineage: Eukaryota; Fungi; Ascomycota; Pichiomycetes; Serinales; Debaryomycetaceae.